CCUACGGGAGGCAGCAGUCGAGAAUCAUUCACAAUGGGGGAAACCCUGAUGGUGCGACGCCGCGUGGGGGAAUGAAGGUCUUCGGAUUGUAAACCCCUGUCAUGUGGGAGCAAAUUAAAAAGAUAGUACCACAAGAGGAAGAGACGGCUAACUCUGUGCCAGCAGCCGCGGUAAUACAGAGGUCUCAAGCGUUGUUCGGAAUCACUGGGCGUAAGGCGUGCGUAGGCUGUUUCGUAAGUCGUGUGUGAAAGGCGCGGGCUCAACCCGCGGACGGCACAUGAUACUGCGAGACUAGAGUAAUGGAGGGGGAACCGGAAUUCUCGGUGUAGCAGUGAAAUGCGUAGAUAUCGAGAGGAACACUCGUGGCGAAGGCGGGUUCCUGGACAUUAACUGAUGCUGAGGCACGAAGGCCAGGGGAGCGAAAGGGAUUAGAUACCCAUGUAGUC
RNAcentral lists this ribosomal RNA (446 nucleotides) under uncultured bacterium. RNAcentral describes it as "partial 16S ribosomal RNA". It matches the Rfam family "Bacterial small subunit ribosomal RNA", at positions 338 to 795 of the family's 1533-position model. The record is from RNAcentral.